GUUUUAUUCUGCUCAUGACUACUUGGGAUAGAGCCUUCACGUUUGGCCCUGACAUCCUGCAGAGGAGACUCUGUCUUCCACUGGCCAUUUAUCAGAAGAAUCACAGGACAGAGAAAGAAUAUUUUAAAUGAGCUCAGGAUGACCUCAGAGUGGAUUAAUGUAUUUGGGAGGACUGAUCAACCUGACAAUCUCACAUUCAUCAGUGUGAAAUCAAUCUGAAAGGGUGCCAAGAGGAUGGUGCCAGACUCUUUUCAGUGGUGCCAGUGACAGGAUGAGGAGCAAUGGCCAUAAACAAAACCACAACGUUUCAUCUCAACAUGAGGAAGAGCUUCUUUCCAUGGAGUGUGGCUGAGCACCGGAGCAGGUGUCCUGGGAAGACAUGGAGUGUCCCUUUCCAGAGAUAUUCCAACCCCACCUGGACACCUGCUCUGGGUUCCUGUGGUUGUGUCUUGGCAGGGGAUUGGAUUGGAUGAUCUCCAGGGGUUCCUUCCGACCCCAACUAUUCUGUGAUUGUGUUUGCUCCACUUCUUUCAGCUCAGCUUGGGUGAAUUUACCUGUGAAAAGUCAGAUCCUGUUAUUUCCAAGUGGGUAAAACAUCCCUGCUCUAGACAACACCCACACACAUAAAACACACCUGAGCCCCUGUUCAGUCCCACAGGGAGGAAUCAGAGCUACUUCUGGGCAGAAUUUCUGCCUUGUGCCAACGCCCAGAGGUGCCUCAUGCUGCACAAGCCUCGUGCAGU
Long non-coding RNA from Passer domesticus (house sparrow), 743 nucleotides. RefSeq lists it as uncharacterized. The record is from RefSeq and is a predicted model, not a curated record. The transcript is spliced from 3 exons. NCBI's taxonomy places the organism in Eukaryota, Metazoa, Chordata, Aves, Passeriformes, Passeridae.